GAUGAACGCUGGCGGCGUGCCUAAUACAUGCAAGUCGAGCGAACGGACGAGAAGCUUGCUUCUCUGAUGUUAGCGGCGGACGGGUGAGUAACACGUGGAUAACCUACCUAUAAGACUGGGAUAACUUCGGGAAACCGGAGCUAAUACCGGAUAAUAUUUUGAACCGCAUGGUUCAAAAGUGAAAGACGGUCUUGCUGUCACUUAUAGAUGGAUCCGCGCUGCAUUAGCUAGUUGGUAAGGUAACGGCUUACCAAGGCAACGAUGCAUAGCCGACCUGAGAGGGUGAUCGGCCACACAGGAACUGAGACACGGUCCAGACUCCUACGGGAGGCAGCAGUAGGGAAUCUUCCGCAAUGGGCGAAAGCCUGACGGAGCAACGCCGCGUGAGUGAUGAAGGUCUUCGGAUCGUAAAACUCUGUUAUUAGGGAAGAACAUAUGUGUAAGUAACUGUGCACAUCUUGACGGUACCUAAUCAGAAAGCCACGGCAAACUACGU
RNAcentral lists this ribosomal RNA (496 nucleotides) under uncultured bacterium. RNAcentral's name for it is "partial 16S ribosomal RNA". It matches the Rfam family "Bacterial small subunit ribosomal RNA", at positions 28 to 506 of the family's 1533-position model. The record is from RNAcentral.